CCUUGCAACAUUGAUGAAGAGUAAAAAUGAAAUUAUAUCUUAGUCUAGAAAAAGUAUUGAAGCAUAUAAUAACUAUACCAAAGCAUUGUUAAAUAAAAUUGAACCGCUCUUUAACAUAGUUAUAAAGCACCAUCUGCAACUAUAUCAUGCGACGGUAUUAAGAGUUUUAUUUUUAACCCAAUAAGGAUGUUAAACGACACUUCAUCUUAUAACGUCUGUGUUGAAAAUUAAUCUGGAUUUAUAAAUAUAUAACAGUGAUAUUCGUAACAUUUUUUCAAGUAAGACACUGCCAAUAUAGGUAUAAAAUGUACAGUACAGUAACAUUACUUUAAGGAGUACGAGAAAAAGAAUUAUCGCUAAUGCAUGUGAUGGCGUUACUGAAACUGUGCCAAGAAAGGUGUGGCUUCAAAAAUACUACUUACUAUUCCUAACUAUUCAAGUUUCCGACCAACAUAGAAGUGUAAAAAUGUGCAAAAUUCAGAUGUGUGAAAGUGUGAAAAUUGUCAGCUUAUUCCACUCGUUGUAGAGAAAAAUCUGUGCAAAAAUUCUGGUAUGAUCUACAUUCUACUCCUGCAUGAAAACUGACAGAAUAUGUGUUUUAUUAAAGACAAAAUCUUACAAACAUAGUAAGCUAGACGUUCAGUUAGUUGACAUUAUUUUGAGUAUGGAAAAGUGGCUAGCUAUAUAUUGCCGAAUGUUUCGAAAAGAAUGUUACUGUUAACAUUCAGCUGUUUGGUUGCCUGAAAUGAGAAAAAAAAUGUAUGUAUUGCAUGAAACAUAACUAGAAUAAACCGUU
Molecule: long non-coding RNA, 796 nt
Organism: Mercenaria mercenaria
Lineage: Eukaryota; Metazoa; Mollusca; Bivalvia; Venerida; Veneridae
Exons: 3
Source: RefSeq, a predicted model, not a curated record